Molecule: ribosomal RNA, 3123 nt
Filed under: Streptomyces endophytica
Lineage: Bacteria; Bacillati; Actinomycetota; Actinomycetes; Kitasatosporales; Streptomycetaceae
Description: Streptomyces sp. HNM0140 23S ribosomal RNA
Rfam family: Bacterial large subunit ribosomal RNA
Source: RNAcentral
GGCCAAGUUUUUAAGGGCGCACGGUGGAUGCCUUGGCACCAGGAACCGAUGAAGGACGUGGGAGGCCGCGAUAGGCCCCGGGGAGCUGUCAACCGAGCUUUGAUCCGGGGGUGUCCGAAUGGGGAAACCCGGCAGUCGUCAUGGGCUGUCACCCGCUGCUGAACACAUAGGCAGUGUGGAGGGAACGCGGGGAAGUGAAACAUCUCAGUACCCGCAGGAAGAGAAAACAACCGUGAUUCCGGGAGUAGUGGCGAGCGAAACUGGAUGAGGCCAAACCAGUCACGUGUGAUACCCGGCAGGGGUUGCGUGGUUGGGGUUGUGGGAUCUCUUUUCUGCAGUCUGCCGGCUGUGGGACGAGUCAGAAACCGUUGAUGUAGGCGAAGGACAUGCGAAAGGUCCGGCGUAGAGGGUAAGACCCCCGUAGCUGAAACGUCAACGGCUCGUUUAAGAGACACCCAAGUAGCACGGGGCCCGAGAAAUCCCGUGUGAAUCUGGCGGGACCACCCGUUAAGCCUAAAUAUUCCCUGGUGACCGAUAGCGGAUAGUACCGUGAGGGAAUGGUGAAAAGUACCGCGGGAGCGGAGUGAAAUAGUACCUGAAACCGUGUGCCUACAAGCCGUGGGAGCGUCGCGUUGAGUCUUCGGAUUCAACGUCGUGACUGCGUGCCUUUUGAAGAAUGAGCCUGCGAGUUUGCGGUAUGUUGCGAGGUUAACCCGUGUGGGGAAGCCGUAGCGAAAGCGAGUCCGAAUAGGGCGUUGAGUAGCGUGCCCAAGACCCGAAGCGGAGUGAUCUAGCCAUGGGCAGGUUGAAGCGGAGGUAAGACUUCGUGGAGGACCGAACCCACCAGGGUUGAAAACCUGGGGGAUGACCUGUGGUUAGGGGUGAAAGGCCAAUCAAACUCCGUGAUAGCUGGUUCUCCCCGAAAUGCAUUUAGGUGCAGCGUCGUGUGUUUCUUGCCGGAGGUAGAGCACUGGAUAGGCGAUGGGCCCUACCGGGUUACUGACCUUAGCCAAACUCCGAAUGCCGGUAAGUGAGAGCGCGGCAGUGAGACUGUGGGGGAUAAGCUCCAUGGUCGAGAGGGAAACAGCCCAGAGCAUCGACUAAGGCCCCUAAGCGUGUGCUAAGUGGGAAAGGAUGUGGAGUCGCAGAGACAACCAGGAGGUUGGCUUAGAAGCAGCCACCCUUGAAAGAGUGCGUAAUAGCUCACUGGUCAAGUGAUUCCGCGCCGACAAUGUAGCGGGGCUCAAGCACACCGCCGAAGUCAUGUCAUUGCGAUAUUACUCCUAACGGGGAUCGUGAUGGGUAGGGGAGCGUCGUGUGCCGGGUGAAGCAGCCGUGGAAACGAGUUGUGGACGGUUCACGAGUGAGAAUGCAGGCAUGAGUAGCGAUACACACGUGGGAAACGUGUGCGCCGAUUGACUAAGGGUUCCUGGGUCAAGCUGAUCUGCCCAGGGUAAGUCGGGACCUAAGGCGAGGCCGACAGGCGUAGUCGAUGGACAACCGGUUGAUAUUCCGGUACCCGCUUUGAAGCGCCAAACAUUGAAUCAGGCGAUGCUAAGUCCGUGAAGCCGCCCUGAGCUCUUCGGAGCGUAGGGGAGUGGUGGAGCCGACGAACCAGACUUGUAGUAGGUGAGUGAUGGGGUGACGCAGGAAGGUAGUCCAGCCCGGGCGGUGGUUGUCCCGGGGUAAGGGUGUAGGCCGUGUGGUAGGCAAAUCCGUCACACGUUAAGGCUGAGACCUGAUGCCGAGCCGAUUGUGGUGAAGUGGAUGAUCCUAUGCUGUCGAGAAAAGCCUCUAGCGAGUUUCAUGGCGGCCCGUACCCUAAACCGACUCAGGUGGUCAGGUAGAGAAUACCGAGGCGUUCGGGUGAACUAUGGUUAAGGAACUCGGCAAAAUGCCCCCGUAACUUCGGGAGAAGGGGGGCCAUUGCUGGUGAUGGAAUUUUCUUCCUGAGCUGGUGGUGGCCGCAGAGACCAGCGAGAAGCGACUGUUUACUAAAAACACAGGUCCGUGCGAAGCCGUAAGGCGAUGUAUACGGACUGACGCCUGCCCGGUGCUGGAACGUUAAGGGGACCGGUUAGUCAUGAUUCGUCAUGGCGAAGCUGAGAACUUAAGCGCCAGUAAACGGCGGUGGUAACUAUAACCAUCCUAAGGUAGCGAAAUUCCUUGUCGGGUAAGUUCCGACCUGCACGAAUGGCGUAACGACUUCUCGACUGUCUCAACCAUAGGCCCGGUGAAAUUGCAUUACGAGUAAAGAUGCUCGUUUCGCGCAGCAGGACGGAAAGACCCCGGGACCUUUACUAUAGCUUGAUAUUGGUGUUCGGUUCGGCUUGUGUAGGAUAGGUGGGAGACUUUGAAGCAUCAACGCCAGUUGGUGUGGAGUCAUUGUUGAAAUACCACUCUGGUCGUGCUGGAUGUCUAACCUGGGUCCGUGAUCCGGAUCAGGGACAGUGUCUGGUGGGUAGUUUAACUGGGGCGGUUGCCUCCUAAAGGGUAACGGAGGCGCCCAAAGGUUCCCUCAGCCUGGUUGGCAAUCAGGUGUUGAGUGUAAGUGCACAAGGGAGCUUGACUGUGAGACUGACGGGUCGAGCAGGUACGAAAGUAGGGACUAGUGAUCCGGCGGUGGCUUGUGGAAGCGCCGUCGCUCAACGGAUAAAAGGUACCCCGGGGAUAACAGGCUGAUCUUCCCCAAGAGUCCAUAUCGACGGGAUGGUUUGGCACCUCGAUGUCGGCUCGUCGCAUCCUGGGGCUGGAGUCGGUCCCAAGGGUUGGGCUGUUCGCCCAUUAAAGCGGUACGCGAGCUGGGUUUAGAACGUCGUGAGACAGUUCGGUCCCUAUCCGCUGUGCGCGUAGGAGUCUUGAGAAGGGCUGUCCCUAGUACGAGAGGACCGGGACGGACGAACCUCUGGUGUGCCAGUUGUCCUGCCAAGGGCAUGGCUGGUUGGCUACGUUCGGAAAGGAUAACCGCUGAAAGCAUCUAAGCGGGAAGCCUGCUUCGAGAUGAGGGCUCCCACCUCCUUGAGAGGGUAAGGCUCCCAGUAGACGACUGGGUUGAUAGGCCAGAUAUGGAAGCCGGGUAACCGGUGGAGUUGACUGGUACUAAUAGGCCGAGGGCUUGUCCUC